This 108-nucleotide ribosomal RNA is filed under the name Cordylochernes scorpioides. Lineage: Eukaryota; Metazoa; Arthropoda; Arachnida; Pseudoscorpiones; Chernetidae. The record is from RNAcentral.
ACGUAUUUAACAUUGAAAACAUCGGUACUCGUCCGAUCACCGAAGCAAUGUCGGGCUCGGUCAGUACUUGGGAGGGUGACCACCUGGGAACACCGGGUGCUGUAAGCU